AGUGAGCGCUGGCGGUAGGCCUAACACAUGCAAGUCGAACGGCAGCACAGUAAGAGCUUGCUCUUACGGGUGGCGAGUGGCGGACGGGUGAGGAAUACAUCGGAAUCUACUUUUUCGUGGGGGAUAACGUAGGGAAACUUACGCUAAUACCGCAUACGACCUACGGGUGAAAGCAGGGGAUCUUCGGACCUUGCGCGAUUGAAUGAGCCGACGUCGGAUUAGCUAGUUGGCGGGGUAAAGGCCCACCAAGGCGACGAUCCGUAGCUGGUCUGAGAGGAUGAUCAGCCACACUGGAACUGAGACACGGUCCAGACUCCUACGGGAGGCAGCAGUGGGGAAUAUUGGACAAUGGGCGCAAGCCUGAUCCAGCCAUACCGCGUGGGUGAAGAAGGCCUUCGGGUUGUAAAGCCCUUUUGUUGGGAAAGAAAAGCAGCAGGUUAAUACCCCGCUGUUCUGACGGUACCCAAAGAAUAAGCACCGGCUAACUUCGUG
Molecule: ribosomal RNA, 492 nt
Filed under: uncultured bacterium
Lineage: Bacteria
Description: partial 16S ribosomal RNA
Rfam family: Bacterial small subunit ribosomal RNA
Source: RNAcentral